Molecule: transfer RNA, 76 nt
Filed under: Patescibacteria group bacterium
Lineage: Bacteria
Also listed under: 2 other names
Description: tRNA-Thr
Rfam family: tRNA
About the family: Transfer RNA (tRNA) molecules are approximately 80 nucleotides in length. Their secondary structure includes four short double-helical elements and three loops (D, anti-codon, and T loops).
Source: RNAcentral
GCCGAAAUAGCUCAGUUGGCAGAGCGACGCACUCGUAACGCGUAGGUCGUGGGUUCGAUUCCCACUUUCGGCUCCA